ACGGGAGGCAGCAGUGAGGAAUAUUGGUCAAUGGUCGCAAGACUGAACCAGCCAUGCCGCGUGCAGGAAGACGGUCCUAUGGAUUGUAAACUGCUUUUAUACAGGAAGAAACCCUCCCACGUGUGGGAGCUUGACGGUACUGUAGGAAUAAGGAUCGGCUAACUCCGUGCCAGCAGCCGCGGUAAUACGGAGGAUCCAAGCGUUAUCCGGAAUCAUUGGGUUUAAAGGGUCCGUAGGCGGUCUUAUAAGUCAGUGGUGAAAGCCCAUCGCUCAACGAUGGAACUGCCAUUGAUACUGUAAGACUUGAAUGCUUAGGAAGUAACUAGAAUAUGUAGUGUAGCGGUGAAAUGCUUAGAUAUUACAUGGAAUACCAAUUGCGAAGGCAGGUUACUACUAAGUGAUUGACGCUGAUGGACGAAAGCGUGGGGAGCGAACAGGAUUAGAUACCCUGGUAGUCCACGCCGUAAACGAUGGAUACUAGCUGUUCGGCGCAAGUUGAGUGGCUAAGCGAAAGUGAGAAGUAUCCCACCUGGGGAGUACGCAC
This 544-nucleotide ribosomal RNA is filed under the name uncultured bacterium. RNAcentral describes it as "bacterial SSU rRNA". It matches the Rfam family "Bacterial small subunit ribosomal RNA", at positions 341 to 887 of the family's 1533-position model. The record is from RNAcentral.